CAGUUUGAUUCUGACUGAAAAAUUAACUUUUGCCAACCAAAAUACAUGUAAAAUAUAUUAAGCCCGCACUAAUAAAAACCUUAAUGGUAAAGUAAAUGUAUUUAGAAUAUUCUUAAUACAGCAGAGCGCCACAGUAAGUAACACUUUUCAAUUUGAGAAAUCAAGAAAAGAGUAUGGUAAUAGGGCUGGCAAAAUUCGUGCCAGCUGCCGCGGUUAGACGACAAGCCCAAGUUAAUAUAAUAUAAACUAAAUUAAUGAUAAGUUAAAAAAUAAUAAAAGUCUAAUUUUUAAAAUUCAAGCCUCACAAUUAUCGCAUACAAUAAUGAAAUCAUGAACUAAAACAUGGAUUAGAUACCCACCUAUUCAUGACAUAAAUAAAAGUUGAAUAUUACGAACAAUAGUUUAAAAUUCAAAGAUUUUGGCGGUGUCUUAUAAAACCAGGGGAACCUGUCUCAUAACUCGAUAAUCCACGCACACCUGACCUUCUCUCGACAAUUCAGCAUGUGUACUGCCGUUGUAAGCAUACCUUUAAAAGAAUAGUAUGCUACUAUGAUUAUAAUUAACUCAUAUACAUCAGGUCAAAGUGCAGCUAAUGAGGAGGAGAUGAUGGGUUACAACCAUAAAAAAGACUAUCAACUAAAAAAUAAAAAAUUUAUUACGAAAGUGGACUUGGCUGUAAUUAACUUCAGUUAAAACAAAUGAAUAAUCUCUAAGACAUGUACACAUCGCCCGUCACUCUAUCCUAAAGGUUAGACAAGUCGUAACAAAGUAGGUGUAAUGGAAAUUGCACCUGU
This 794-nucleotide non-coding RNA is filed under the name Duplodicodrilus schmardae. The record is from RNAcentral. Lineage: Eukaryota; Metazoa; Annelida; Clitellata; Crassiclitellata; Megascolecidae.